CCCGCCCAGAACGCGGGGAAGGUUUAGGGAGACGGUUGCUCCUGGACCAGCUCCUGGAAGAGGAACACGGCCUGGGGUCAGGGCCGCCGCUUGACCGCGGCUCGGCUGCCGCUGCCGGGCAGUCAAGGGGGCGCUGGUGGGGGCGCGCUGCUCGGGGAGCCGGCAGAUGCACAAAGCAGGGUCAUCUGAAGCCUCUCAAUUCCAAAGAUGAUAAUAGUGAAAAGCUGUGAAGUGACAGUGAAUCCUUGGCAUAUGAAGAAAGAUUGUAAAGUCCUGAAUGAAUUAAGAAGAGAAAACAUGAGCCUAUGAAUCGAACCUCAUCUGUGAUGGUCUGCAGCUGGGAGCAACCAGAUCAGUGUCAGUCCCUUUGCAGCCAUUGGCUGGAGCCUGCAUGUUACCUGGAAUGAUAUUUGAAACAGGUCACUCUAGCCGUUCAUUCGCUGUGGGCUGGGAGGCGAGUCAGUCAGAAUCUGCAUUAUGGAAUAUAUGUUUCGGAUCCAAAGCUAGGAGAUCUUUUUUAAUAGCCAGAGAAUGUAGUCAUAAAUAUAUCUAUUAAUGUAUUUAUGCAAGAAAAUUUUUAAGGAUUUUUUUAUUAUAAAAAUUUACCCCCCAAAUUUGAAAAUGAAAGAACAGUGGAAUUAAAAAUCAUCUGUACCUUAA
This is a long non-coding RNA of Camelus dromedarius (Arabian camel), 660 nucleotides long. RefSeq lists it as uncharacterized. The record is from RefSeq and is a predicted model, not a curated record. Lineage: Eukaryota; Metazoa; Chordata; Mammalia; Artiodactyla; Camelidae. The transcript is spliced from 3 exons.